Long non-coding RNA from Physella acuta, 270 nucleotides. RefSeq lists it as uncharacterized. NCBI's taxonomy places the organism in Eukaryota, Metazoa, Mollusca, Gastropoda, Physidae. The record is from RefSeq and is a predicted model, not a curated record.
UUAGGACUGUGGGGACAUACAUUGCUAGCCUGGAUAGUACAUCAAGUGAUACGCACUUCACAUAGAAGAUUGGACGUUGUGCCAGUCACCAUGUCUGACUCAGCAGAAGCCGCCAACAGCUGCAUACGUUUUGUCUUCGGCGACAUCGCUAACCAGAAAGCGGAUGCGAUAGUCUGCUCUAUAAUGAGAGAUAAACAAAUGAGGAACUGUGAGAUAGCCAGGUAUCUGAAGAAGAAGACAGGGGCUAGCGUACAGGACAUUCUGGAUCAG